Molecule: ribosomal RNA, 465 nt
Filed under: uncultured bacterium
Lineage: Bacteria
Description: partial 16S ribosomal RNA
Rfam family: Bacterial small subunit ribosomal RNA
Source: RNAcentral
AUGAACGCUGGCGGCGUGCUUAACCCAUGCAAGUCGAACGAUGAAGCCCAGCUUGCUGGGUGGAUUAGUGGCGAACGGGUGAGUAACACGUGAGUAACCUGCCCUUGACUCUGGGAUAAGCCUGGGAAACUGGGUCUAAUACUGGAUAUGACUUCUCAUCGCAUGGUGGGGGGUGGAAAGAUUUAUUGGUCUUGGAUGGACUCGCGGCCUAUCAGCUUGUUGGUGAGGUAAUGGCUCACCAAGGCGACGACGGGUAGCCGGCCUGAGAGGGUGACCGGCCACACUGGGACUGAGACACGGCCCAGACUCCUACGGGAGGCAGCAGUGGGGAAUAUUGCACAAUGGGCGCAAGCCUGAUGCAGCGACGCCGCGUGAGGGAUGACGGCCUUCGGGUUGUAAACCUCUUUCAGUAGGGAAGAAGCGAGAGUGACGGUACCUGCAGAAGAAGCGCCGGCUAACUACGUG